CCCAGCUGUAGGCAACUGCCUAGGUUGUUUGUACCCAGGCAAGUGUUAUACUGCUGGGAAAAAAGCAGCUAAUAGUUGAUGGGCAUUCUGGGCCUGGUUAAUACCAAAUCUGUUAACUAUACCAGUGUGCUGGCAUAGUUGCCUAUUCUAUUUUUUAAAAAG
This 162-nucleotide small nucleolar RNA is filed under the name Ochotona princeps (American pika). Its description in RNAcentral is "Small nucleolar RNA SNORA74 (ENSOPRG00000023049.1)". Lineage: Eukaryota; Metazoa; Chordata; Mammalia; Lagomorpha; Ochotonidae. The record is from RNAcentral.